AGCGAACGCUGGCGGCAGGCCUAACACAUGCAAGUCGAACGAACCCUUCGGGGUUAGUGGCGGACGGGUGAGUAACACGUGGGAACGUACCUUUAGGUUCGGAACAACACAGGGAAACUUGUGCUAAUGCCGAAUGUGCCCUUCGGGGAAGGAUUAUCGCCUUUAGAGCGGCCCGCGUCUGAUUAGCUUGUUGGUGAGGUAAAGGACUCACCAAGGCUUCGAUCAGUAGCUGGUCUGAGAGGANGAUCAGCCACACUGGAACUGAGACACGGUCCAGACUCCUACGGGAGGCAGCAGUGGGGAAGUUUUGGUACAAUGGGGGCGAACCCUGAUCCAGCCAUUCCGCGUGAGUGAAGAA
RNAcentral lists this ribosomal RNA (358 nucleotides) under uncultured bacterium. RNAcentral describes it as "bacterial SSU rRNA". It matches the Rfam family "Bacterial small subunit ribosomal RNA", at positions 29 to 412 of the family's 1533-position model. The record is from RNAcentral.